CACACAUUGGACUAACAAUAGGGGCUUCCCCCUAGGACACUCAGUCUGAGGUGCUCCCACGUUUCCUAUAUAGUACAGGACAGAAAUACUGUCAUGUCUCCUUCCAUGGGUAUAACCCAUAUGAACCACAGCACAGGGGGGUGACAGGGGAGAUGGACGAGAUACUCCCUAGUCCAUGUAGUCUACGUUCCGGUCUCCCGGAAGAUAAAAAUAUAUUUUGAAACUGUGAAAGACGCCUACCUAGGGAAGUAACAUGAGUAUAUCCUGGGCUCUAGUGACCAGGCAGCCUAGCACUAAAAUAAGGUUUCAGUACCAUAAUACCUAAGGUAAAUUUAUUGUACAGAUGGCUUUAGAAAGCAGGAUAAUGCGAGAUUGUACGUAA
Molecule: non-coding RNA, 382 nt
Organism: Pelobates cultripes (western spadefoot toad)
Lineage: Eukaryota; Metazoa; Chordata; Amphibia; Anura; Pelobatidae
Source: the annotation of a GenBank genome assembly